This 309-nucleotide ribosomal RNA is filed under the name uncultured eukaryote. Its description in RNAcentral is "partial 18S ribosomal RNA". It matches the Rfam family "Eukaryotic small subunit ribosomal RNA", at positions 1470 to 1796 of the family's 1831-position model. The record is from RNAcentral.
CCCUUAGAUGUUCUGGGCGGCCCGCGCACUACAAUGGCGUGUGCAGCGAGUGCCGAAGUAGAGUUUUCCGAGGUAUUCUUGCAAUGCUCGUUUUGAUGGGGAUAGACCCUUGCAACUGUUGGUUUUGAACGAGGAAUUCCUUGUAAGCAUGGUUUAUCAUCCGACGCUGAAUGCGUCCCUGCCCUUUGUACACACCGCCCGUCGCUCCUACCGAUGAGUCGUCCGGUGAAGUUCGUAGACCUCGUGAUCGCGGAUCACUGGGAGAAGCAAAAUGAACCUCGCGGUUUAGAGGAAGGAGAAGUCGUAACA